UGGGGGAUAUUGCACAAUGGGCGAAAGCCUGAUGCAGCGACGCCGCGUGGGGGAUGAAGGCCUUCUGGUUGUAAACUUCUUUUGCUCUUAACAAGGCAUGCUAAUGGGUGUGUUGAGUGUAGGGGUUGAUUAGCGCCGGCUAACUACGUGCCAGCAGCCGCGGUAAUACGUAGGGCGCGAGCGUUGUCCGGAAUUAUUGUGCGUACAGGGCUUGUAGGUGGCUGGUUGCGUCUGUCUUGUAAGCUAAUGGCUUAACUGUGGGGUUGGGGUGGGUACGGGCUGGCUUGAGUGCAGUAGGGGAGUCUAGAAUUCCUGGUGUAGCGAGAGAAUGCGUAGAUCUCAGGAGGAAUACCGGUGGGGAAGGCGGGUCUCUGGGCUGUUCCUGACACUGAGGAGCAAAAGGAUGGUGAGCGAACAGG
RNAcentral lists this ribosomal RNA (419 nucleotides) under bacterium. RNAcentral describes it as "partial 16S ribosomal RNA". It matches the Rfam family "Bacterial small subunit ribosomal RNA", at positions 355 to 776 of the family's 1533-position model. The record is from RNAcentral.